UAGUAAAAUGAGAGGUCUCAUUAGAGAAGAAGUCUGGUAUUUUCCUAAUGAAGUUAAACGACAAGAUGAAGAAAAUCAGUGAUGACCAUAAUAUGUCCUGGCCUUGACCCUCCAUGCAGCAGUCUGUGCUUUCCAGUCUGGGUGUAAUCCAGCCUCCUGGCCAUCAUUUUCUUGCACAGGGGAUAGAAAUAUCCAUUUUUCCAAUGACAGGACUGCCAGGAUGGUUCUGGGCUGUGAAUGGCAAGGGAAGACCUCCUCCAAGGCAACGUGUUUCCUGUUGAUUCCUGGCUGGGUACUAUGCAAUGUACACAGUUUCCACAGCUUAUGCUUUGCUCUGGGGUUCAAUUCCCACCCCAGGGUCAGCACUGGAGUCCCCUGCUCCAUCUAACCAUUAGGGCUGCGCCUUGAAGUCACUGACGGAGCCUGCAACAGAGCUGGCCAUGGAUUUCAGUUGAAGCCUUUUAACGGCCCCAUUGUGCUGCAUUGUUUUUGUGGGUGUCUGCACCUUUCAAGCAAGCUCCAAUUAGAAGAGGGGGGAGAGGAGAGGAAGAGAGAGGGAAGUAAACAGAGGCAAAACGAUUCAGCUCUCAGCAAAUCCACAGCCUGUUUGUGGGACAGAUGGAGCCACGCAGCGAAUGGCUUUGCUGCAGCAUGGCCCCCGAGCAGGUGGGUAUUUUGGAAGUGAUGAGCGGUUUACCCCUUCAGUUAGCAGCCAUGCAGACUCACACCGGACAUAUGUCAAUAACAGCUCUGCUUGGUUCCUGCUGUCACAGCAAUCGGAACUUGCUUAUUCCUGCCCACCUGCUCUCCAAAGAAAUUGCUGGAAUCAAAACAAACAAACAAGAAGUUACUGACACUUGUUGCGUUAGGAGGACAAAUGAGGGCUCAGAAGCACAUGGGUAUUAUUUCACUUAAGUACUAAUUGCUGAAUGCCUUUCGUUAAGAGACCAUCGUGGUCAUCCCAGCAGUGUUUUGAACUUAUAUGCAGAUGGGCAGAUGGCCCUUUGCUGUAAUACAGGCAGAUGCAUCUAACGUUACAGAUGGAUUAUUAUGUUGAUUUGUCACUGAAAGAAAAACUUAUUUCACAAUAGGGCAUUCAUUUCAGCAUGGUUCUUUCUCAAGCUUCUAUUCUGCCUCUGUAUUGCUGGUUUUCAUUCCAUAAAACAAAGUUCUCAAUCAGCAAGGCUAGCAUUUCCCCUUCUGUGCUGCAAAAAGAGAAAGAAAGAAAGUUAAAGAGCCUUUCUAAGAGAAAGAUGGUCCUUUUGAGAACCUGGAAGAUGCAUUUUAACUUCAGACCUGGAGGCAGGUCUGGAACAGGCUCUGAAGGGCAGUGGUCACAGCACCAAGCAUACUGAAGUUCAAGAAGUGUUUGAACAGUGCUCUCUGCCAUAGGGUUUGGAUUUUGAGUGGUCCUGUGUGGAGCCAGGAGUUGGACUCAGUGAUCCCUGUGGGUCCCUUCCAACUCAGGAUAUUCUGAUUCUUUGGAAAGUGAUGUUUAGUCUUUAUCUCUCUAAGCCAAACUGGUUCCUGGAGCAUCUCCCAUAUGAAGAAAGGCUGAGCAACCUGGAUCUGUUCAGCCUGGGGAAAAGAAGACCAAGAGGGGAUCCAGUAAAUGUUUAUAAAUAUCUAAAGGGAGGUGGAACUUCCUUAUGGUAACGGUGACUAAGAAUAGGUUGCCCAGAGAAGUUGUGAAGUCUCCUUCUGUGGAGAUAUUCAAGACCUGGCUGGAUGCCUACCUGUGCAACCUACUGUGGGGAACCUGCUUUAGCAGGGGGGUUGGUCUCAGUGAUCUCUUGAGGUCCCUUCCAACCCCUGAGAUUCUGUGAUUCUGUAAAACUGAACUGUGUUUUUUCCUAGGUCAAGUCCUCCAGCAUCACUGGGUUAGAAAGGAGAUCCAAGACGGACACAGGGAGGGAACCAGUUUGAAGCUCAAGGAAGGAGACCCCCAGCUCUCUGUGAAGGAUGGGCGUGAGCUGGCAUCGAGUCAGAAUGUCCUUGUGAAGGUGGGAGAGAACUGGAGCGUUGGGGCUCCUCCGCCUUUGAAACCACCUUUGUGUGAGCAAGAACUGGAGCUGUCCUGCAAAGAUUGCCCUUAGGAGACGUGUAUGGGCUUUGCUAUGGAGAACAACAGCUCUUCUGUGGCUGACAGCCUAACACUGGGAUGAAGAGCACCCCACACGUGGCUGAUCUGGAGGCUGCUGCAGUUGCCAGAGCGGGACCCAAGCAUGGAUGAUCCUGAGAAACCUGCACAGCGACGGCCCCUGGACUCCCCUGACUGGGAAGAGGUUAAUUUAAACAGCCUGAAAAGCAGCAAAGGGAAAAGUCAUCUUUCAUGAGAUGGAACUGUGACUGUCCCUUUCUGAGGAACAGGCCUGUACCAGGGAUGCAAGCUAGCAUGUGGUCCUACCCUUUGCAAGAUCCUUUGUGUAUGCAGCCUCCGAUUCCUUCUCCUCCAGUUCCUUAUCUUAGCUUGUAAAACAUGCUGCAUAUGGCCAACAAGGCUAUCUGUGUCUAGCUUACGUGCAAACCUGGAGACAUCUCUGCACAAAUCACCACUGACUUGCAAAAUCCUCCAGCCCUCUGCUGCCUUAUUGUCUUUGUGGUCACAUGCGCUCUAUUUGCUGUGGGUCGUUUACUGCCAACCUUGGAGGAAUGUCAGUAACUGGAAAGCUGAGCUUUCUCCUUUCUGUUUUGUCAGUCAGGGUGUCCAUCAGCAGAUGUAGCAGGGUACUGGAGGACUACAGCCUGCAUGGGUCACGCCUUCAGCUGAAAUGGCACCAGGCAUAGACCAGGUGCCCACACAGGGGAUUUCAGACCACAGCCUGCAUUUGUAGGGCAACUGGGAGGAAAAUGUUGUCUUGUUUGUCAACUGAACUCCACUGAUGCUCACUGAUGUUCUCCUUAUUGUGCCAUAGGGAAGGUUUGUAUGUUCACAUUUACACCUUGGAAGACCAUUUCCAGGGCAUGACAAUGAGCGCAUUUUAGCCGAUUAUUUUGAACAGAAGGGUGCUGGGCUCGGGAGCAUCCCUCAGGACCAGGAUGGGGAUCCUAGUGGCCAGGUGGGCUGGAAGGCUCUGUACUGAACUGUAGGGACAGUGCUGGAGGCUUGGAGGAGAAAAUGGAGACACACCAUGGCUGAAUGUUUUGGUCAACCUCUUGCCAGACUGAGUCUGUACCAGAGCUCCUAAAGGACAGAGCUCAUGUCUUCCUCUGACUCUUCAGCAGCAUGCUUGAUGUUUGUAGGCCAAAAGUGUUCACAUGUGAACACGGUGAGCAGCUCAGCAGCUGAGAGGUGUCAGCUUCUUGCUCCCUUUGAACCACUUGUGCAAGAAACCCCUCGUGUGGUUACUGCCUGGCUGGUAGCUCGUCACCACACCGUGCUAGGCCACUGUGCUGCAGAACAGCAGAACAACUGUGCUUCUAGACAUGCUGCUGACACCACAACAUCCUUGACCAGGCUGGUGCAUGCCCUGCAUCCUCUGAGGUGGUUUCAGGGUGUGUUUGUCUUCAGACAAAAAGCAAUGCUCUGCAUGCCUCCAGAGAGGGUCUGCUGUCUGCUCUCAAGUGAGAGGCAGGAUGUGCAAGCAAAGUCAGGCUUGGUGUCACCAAACCCAGACUCAUUUCCUCCUCCCAGUGUUCGAGGCUCUCUGGAGCAGAGGUUGGACCUGAGACUCAUUUGUAGCCCUCAGCAAACUUCUCAUAAACAGGAAAGAGCACUGUGGGGAGGACGACAAGACAGCAAUCAGUUCUGCUCUGUCUUUUGUUCUUCCCCUCCUCUUUUGUCUUAAGACUAACAAUGCCUUGUUUGAUUUGUUGCACGGACAGCUGCCAGAUGGAAGUAAAACUGUCCUUCAAGAGGGUGGCAGUCCUCAACGGGAUGGUCAUGGCCUCAUCCUGCCUGCAGCUGCGGAAAUGCCACCUACUGGGCCUGCUUCUGGCCUGCAGCCGCUGUGCUUGAGGAAGGCUGCAUGCCGGGAGGGAGGCCCUAGAGAUGCUAUCAAGUGACAAGGACCUUGGGCUCUUUGCCUGGGUUGUGUUCUCUUCCCCAGACUUUCCAGAUCAGAAUAGCGGAGGGAGCCUUCCUUACUGGGGCAUCAGACACCGUGCGGGGUGUUAUCUCAGCCCUGUGACAGCUCAUUGUUUGGUUUCCUUCCGUAAUGUCACUGUGGUGAAGGAGAGAGAAAACUUUUGCUUUCCAACUGUUCUCUCUGUUUUUUGUUUGUUUGUUUGUUUGUUUUGCUGCAGCCCCCUGUGCCUGCUGGUAGCUUCCUCAAGUGCCUGAAGCUGAUUGGGAAAUAGUCCCUGCUGUUAUUGAGGCUUGUCCUGCUCUGGAGGGUGAUGAGCUCCAUGGCAGGAAGCUGCUCUCUCAAAGCAGAUCUCUUCAAAAUUAAAGAGAAGAGUUGGUUCUCUUCUGCAUAAUUUGCUCCUUGGCCUUCAAGAUUUAACAUCCAUUGAAAGUAGGGAUGGCUGAGCUGGUGUGACGCAGUUUGUCCUGCGUACAGGAGGCAUGGCCUAGAGAUAAGGACACUCAACUGAAGCAAGAAGUAGGAGCCAGAUCUCUGCUGAAUUCCCAGAUUACUAAGACUCCUUUUUCUCCACUUCUUUCUAGCUCUAUGAGUCUUGCUUUUGUGACUGCCUGUUGGGUCAUCCUCAACAAGGCAAGCCUGGACCCAGUAACACCAGUGUCCCCCUGUUUAAGUCACCUUCCUGCAACAUGGGGAGUUGAAUCCUUUCCAGGUGGAGGAGAAACUUUUAUUUCUCAUAUCAUGGGUGAGCUGCCGCCAGUGAGCAGUACUGUGCAGUGCAGCUUCUAGUGGCUAUUUUCAGGUACUGUAAUGCCUCAGCUGACUAUUUGUGACUUAUCUUUGACACAAGGGGAUGCACCAGCAGAGAUUCCUGAUUCCUCCUUGGCAGCUAAAAUACCAACAAAAACAGCAUGGAAGUGUCCUUCCUUCCACACCUCCCCACGACCCUAACAGAGGUGUGUGAGGAUUUAGAUUCCUUACAUGCCUGCAAGGCACUCAGCUCAGCUCAAGAGCCUCAUCACAAAGUUAUUAUAGCCUGUGUGCUCCUCAGUGGGUGUGAAGUGGUUAAUGACUGACUUGUAAAACUGCUCUGUGCAUGGGUGAACUGUGUAGGUGUUUUCAGAAACAGCUGUGCCAGUUUCCCCUGUCAGGAUGGGCUUGGGUGCUGGCCAACUUUCCUGUCACUCUCUGUUUGCAAAGCUUUGUGUGAUUGAGUUUUGGUUUUUGAAAUCCGUCAGGUACAACUGAAAUUCAAAAGCUGAAAGCUUGAAAAGCUGAAAGUUUUUAGUAUUAUUUCAGAGCUUGCUUGGUUUUGCAGGAUUCAUCACUGUGAAUACCAGUGUUCUGGAACUCUGUCACAUGAUGAAAUCAACCUACUACUGCUAAGAAGCACCAGUUUGUAACUUAAACACUGAUUAUGCCAGGAGGAGAAGCCCAAAUCCAUUUAGAUGAUGCUCAUCAAAGAUCUCUGUGGUCUAGGUCUAUGGUCUAUAUAUGGUGUCUGGAAAGCUGGGCUUGGGUAUGUGUAGGAACUACUAAAUAGGCCAUUUUGACACCCUAGUUUUUGAUGUCCUACAUCGUAACUCCUACAGUGCAUUUAGCAGCUUGUGUGAAAGUCUCUCUAGAAAGUACUGUCUUCUGUCCACUGAAAAUGCAUUUGUUCAUCCAUCACAGAAGCCCCUGGCAGGUGCCCUGGAGGUUUUCAAGGAACAUGUAAACGUGGCACUGAGGGACAUGGUUAGUGGGCAUGGUGGAGAUGGGCUGAUGGCUGGACUGGAUUACCUUAGUGGUCUUUUCCAACCUAAAUGAUUCAGUUAUUCUUUACAGCCACAUGUGGUCAAGGCCUGGAAAAAUCUCUUCUAGGUCAGAGAAGUGGACUGCUUUUACCUCAAUGGACUCAUUUCCUGAGGACAGUAUACCUCAAUGGACUCAUUUCCUGAGGACAGUAACAGGUGAGAUAGAUUUUGUGCACCACACCCAACAUGGCCCAUGCAAUACGGUUUGCUGUCUGCUGUUCUCAAUUCCCAGACUUUGUUCUCCAAGCUAUUGAACUUGUCACGUCCCCCUGACGCUGAUAUUUUAGGAGAAACUAGAGGCUUCUGGAAUGAUUUGUUCCCAUACAAAACUGGAAAUGAGUUUCCACCCACUGAUACUAUUUAUAAGCAAGUAGUAGCAGCAUUAAACUAGAAUCCCUGCUGUUCCUGAUGCUACUCAAGGAAUACAUGGUUGUUACUGUCCCAUUACGGGCCCGGUGGGUGUGAAAGGUGCGGCUCAUUUUGAACCAUUUCUUGUUUAUUCUUAUCACUCUUGAACACCUGUGAGUCAGAGGUCUGUCUCUGGCUUUCUUUCCUUCUCUCAGUCUACAUUUGCAGACUAAAAUGGUGGGUUUCUGGUAGAUCUUGUCACUUCUAUGUAAUUUGGCCAUUUCAGAAUGAAAUACGUAAAUGAACUUAGGCUGCUAAUUGCCCUGUCCUCUGCACUUGUUAUGGGUGACAUCUGGGCGCAUUGGUAUGAGUUGUGAACAGUCAUGCUUUCUGCGAAGAACCUAAGCCAGAACUGGAGGAAAUUAAAUCUACAGAUAGAAGGAUGUAUUUCUGGUGCCACUGCAACCAGGGACCCAUCCCUCCCUUAGCUUUUUUUUUCAAGCUGAAGAGUUGAUUCAGUUACUUGGCAGUUGGGUGCCGUUUCAAGCCUUUUGCUAUCUCCUUAUUGAGAAAAUUGACUAGGGCUGCCUAAAAUUUCCAAUUUCCUUUUUAUUUUCUUUGCCUUGCUCUAGUUAUUCCUAUCAUUCUCUUUUUCAAAGCGACUGAGCUGGAAUUUUCAGAUGAUUGCUCACAAUGACUCUGGUCCUUUUACUUUCUGUGUAUGGCUAAUGUGAUUUCUCCCACACAGAUUAACCUAUGCUUAUUGACACUGCAUUUUACCAGUGGUUUCAUUGCCUGGUCACUCAGCAUCAUGUCACAGUUAUUCAUAUUCAGAUUUAGAUCUCAAAAUCCUGGAUAACUUACAGCAGCUGGUCACUUGAUCAUUUGAUUGCUCAUCCCUUUUCCAGAUCACUGUGAUGGUAGUGAACAGAAGAAAUUCAGCAUAAAUUCUCAGGGGACUUUCCAGAAGCUUAUUAUAUAAGUGUUACAUAUGUAUUCACACAAAAAGGUACACAAAGAAACAUAUGCAUGCAUGUGUACGUGCAUUAUCAUAUGUAUGUGUGCAUACAUAUAAUAAUUUAUGCCUACUUUUAACUUCUGGUAUUUCAUUCUUAUGAGCUUCUGAUAUUUCAUGACAGUAAUUUCUUUAAGAACCUUGACUGGGAGAGAGAAUUCAGCUGCCUGUGUUUUUCAAAAACCGGCUGCAGUGAAUCAAUAGAACAGCUCUGGCCCUCAUGCCUGACAACUUUCCAAAAAUAUCUGAUGGAUUUGUGAGGUAUGGCGUGUCUUUAUAAAAGCUAUGUUGACUUCCACUGACCAAUUGAUCCAUUGAGCUAUCUACUUCACACAGACACACAAGUUGAAGAGGGCUUCUGGAGUUCUGUGGUCCAAUCUCACAUUGAAAGCAACCAACUCUGCUGUUGUCUGGCUAAGUCUUGGAAACCCCCAAGGGUAAAGUUCUUACCUCCUCUCCAGAUGUAGGUCUCAGAGCUGCACCAUCCAUCUCCAGGAAAAAAAAAAACAAGUGUCCUAGUGGCCAAUCUGAGCUUCCUAAGUGCAGUCUAGCAACCUCUUCUUCUACCCUUUAUUACUGUUCCUCACUUGACUUUUCACCACUGCCAAGAAGAAUUUGAUUCCAUUAUUUAUUGCUCUUCUUCAAGUAGUUUGAUUUUUGGAGACUCUCCAUCCUUGACAAUAUUGACAGCUGGAGCAGACUGCUCAGAAGUUGAGUCCUCUGCUCUGAGCAGAGGUUAGAGUAGGGGUGUCCAGAAGCCCCUUCCAACAUGAAUUAUUCCAUAAUUCUACAGUCAGGCUGGACUCCAGUAGUGAGUUUCUCCUCAAGGGAAGUCCAAGGUGAUUUGUUAGGAGGUAUCAUCUACUAUAUCUUGGCACUCCAGAAACAGUUUGAAAAUUUCCAAGACACGUAUUGUUGAGUAUCCUUGGCAUACCGGAGCAAAGUGAGCAAAACAGCACAGGAAGUGCUUUUCACACAUUUCCUCCAUGCGUUCAGUUGAGAUGCCUGUAUUAGGAAAGAGGUUGCAAACUGAUAUUCUGCCACUGUCUCAUUUUGAGUUGUUCGUCCAUUUUUUGAUUCAGUGUUUGUUCGAAUGAAAUGCUGACUGGAAAACAAAGCUUAUGUCAGCCCUUACCAGCAGAGCAUUCUUUUGAAGGUAAAGAGCUGUAAGGCAGCAUGAUAGGAACAGUGAGUCCUAUCAGAGCCAGCAGCAAAACACUUAAAUGCUGAAAUAGUUCAGCAUCUGCUGAGAGCAAGAACUAUCCAUAUAAAAGACACUAAUCUGUCAUAGACUUUAAAGCUAGAAGGGAUUAUGAUGAUCUUUCUCUCUAACCUCCUACAUAAUUCAGACCAUACGAUAUCAUUUCACAUCAAGCUCUUAUCUUCCAAAUGAGCCUGAAAAAGGCAUCCACUCUUGACUGAAGUACUGACAGUGAUGAAGAUUCCAUCCUAUCUUUGGGAGAUGAUGGUAAGAUUAGUUAUCCUGACAGUUAUGAAAAAUACAGUCUAUUUCAGUGCUUUGUUUCAGCUUUCAUCCACUGGCAUUUGUGAUGCUUUUUGCUGAAUUAUGUGCUUUUCUACUAUCAGGAAGUUUGGCUACCAAGAGUAAUUUUGACCAGCUUUCUUACCUUUUUUCAGUGUGUGGUCAAAGCCUCAGAAGGACCCAGAAGAACUAUUUCUGGCUGGGUUGUAGACGUUUCAGAUAACCUUGACCUUAGCUUGUUUCUGCUAAUGGUGAUCCUCUGUAGAACUGAGAUAAUGAUACUUCCCUCCCUCUCACAGGUGUUGACUGAGAAAAAAAGACCAUUAAAAUUUCUCACAUGCUACAGUGGGAGGAAAAUAGUGGGUCACACGGAGAUCAGAGGCUGGAUAUUACAUUCCAAGAUGUGGUUUAGUGCAGCAAUCUUAUCUACUGGAAACUGAAGUCCUCUCAUAUUGCUGCAAGAUAUGAGCUGCAUUUUCAUGUAUGGAUAGUGGUGCUCUGAAUCAAAAGACAAUAUCUGAAAACAUUUGUAUAGAGUGGUAGUUGAAUAUCUGUGAAAGAGAGAAGAUAUUUGGGGACAGUAGGGGAUAAUUGCUUUCUUUGUAGGGGACAUUGAGAUAAGGCAAUGUAGAUCAAGUGAAGACUAUUUCUCAUAGCAAAACACUUACCAAGAUGUAAAAACAGAAGCUCAUCUAUUUGAUUCAGUUCAUCUGUCUACUCUAAAUGGAGCGUUUAUUUGUAAUGGAGCCAGUGGUCUCAGUUAUCAGCCAUACCUUUUACAGUCAAAGCCUAGACCAAAAUAGCUUCCAAGUCCUUCUGAUUUUCUAUUUUUGUCAGUGAUCUGCUUAAAUGCUGAGGACACUCAGACCAAUCUAAUUGGCUAAGCAUUUGUGCUAGAGGAGUGGAUCACCUCCCUAUAUUUAAAAUGAACAUAUAUAUGAUGUCCUUGGGGUGGGAGAGCAGGGGUGUCUCGUGCUGCCAACUGCUGAGUCAUGGCUGAAAACCAAGGAAGAUGAACCACUCAGCACAAGGCUGGUGUCUCCUAUACUGUUGCUCUGUGGUGCUCAAGAUGUGAAGUACUAUGUUGGGAUGAGUUGAGAUAGAAGAUGAUCUCCCUGUUUUGCCUCCCAUGCUAGGGUCAGCUUUUUUUCAGCCCUGGUGACCAAGUCUGGAUGGAGCUUUGCUGAUGAUGGGGAAUGACUCAGUGGCAUGAGACUCCCCUCAGCCAUGUGUCAGGGAGUAGGUCUUUGUAGAUCAAAUAAGACCUUCAACUGAAAUUCAAAGGAGGUUUUUCCUGUUGUCCACUGUUUUCUGUUAUGCAUAAGUGAUAUAGAUGGCUUUAUUUUCUAGAGUCCCAAAUGCAUGUGAUGCUGAGCUGAUAUUUAGGCUAAAAAUCAACAGCCCAGAUGUCCAUCCCCAUUUUCAUACACAGGGAGUGAAAGACUAAUUCAUUUGGCUCUCUUCUUUCCCGUUGACAAGUUAUCAUAAACAGAGAUGUGUCCAAGUCUGUAUCACAAAAAUUGUUUAUCCUCUAUGGUAAAAACAGAUAUUGAAACAGAAAUCUGAGACUUCUUCCAGAUUACUCUGGGUUAAAGGCUUUGGUCAAACUAUAUAGUCAAACUAUAUAAGUUUGGUCAACUUAUAUAGUUGCUUUAUAUUAUUUGCUGGUUCAUAAAGAGUAAUUCAGCAUUAACAUGUUAAGUCAAUAAUUUUCCUCUCUUCUGUAUCUGUUUUUACAUAGCAGCUGAAACUGAUGAAUCCUGUGAUGGAAUUAUAGAAUUAUAUCAUAGAAUCAUAGAAUGGCCUGGGUUGAAAAGGAACACAAUGAUCAUUGAGUUUCAACCCCCCUGCUAUGUGCAGGGUCACCAACCACCAGACCAGGCUGCCCAGAGCCACAUC
Gallus gallus (chicken) is the source of this 10566-nucleotide long non-coding RNA. RefSeq lists it as uncharacterized. The transcript is spliced from 3 exons. The record is from RefSeq and is a predicted model, not a curated record. Lineage: Eukaryota; Metazoa; Chordata; Aves; Galliformes; Phasianidae.